UACAGGGGGUGCAAGCGUUGCUCGGAAUCACUGGGCGUAAAGCGAGCGCAGGCGGCCGAUUAAGUCAGAGGUGAAAGCCCGGGGCUCAACCCCGGAAUGGCCUUUGAAACUGGUAGGCUUGAAUGCAGGAGAGGGUACGCGGAAUUCUUGGUGUAGAGGUAGAAAAUUCGUAGAUAUCAAGGAGGAACACCGAUGGCGAAGGCAAUCCCCUGGGCCUGCACUGACGCUCAUGCACGAAAGCGGUGGGAGCAAACAGG
Molecule: ribosomal RNA, 257 nt
Filed under: uncultured bacterium
Lineage: Bacteria
Description: partial 16S ribosomal RNA
Rfam family: Bacterial small subunit ribosomal RNA
Source: RNAcentral